RNAcentral lists this ribosomal RNA (253 nucleotides) under uncultured bacterium. Its description in RNAcentral is "partial 16S ribosomal RNA". It matches the Rfam family "Bacterial small subunit ribosomal RNA", at positions 524 to 776 of the family's 1533-position model. The record is from RNAcentral.
UACGUAGGGUGCGAGCGUUGUCCGGAAUUAUUGAGCGUAAAGGGCUCGUAGGCGGUCUGUCGCGUCGGGAGUGAAAACUCAGGGCUUAACCCUGAGCCUGCUUCCGAUACGGGCAGACUAGAGGUAUGCAGGGGAGAACGGAAUUCCUGGUGUAGCGGUGGAAUGCGCAGAUAUCAGGAGGAACACCGAUGGCGAAGGCAGGUCUCUGGGCAUUAACUGACGCUGAGGAGCGAAAGCAUGGGGAGCGAACAGG